AUGGAGGUCAUGGCGGGGGCUGUGACGAGCGCCCUCCUCCACAAGCUGGACGCCGUGCUGACGGACGAGUACAGGCUGCAGAGGAGCCUGAGGGGCGAGAUCAUGUUCCUCCGAGCCGAGCUGGAGAGCAUGCAGGCGGCCCUCGAGAGAGUAUCCUCGUCGUCGGCGCAGCCGGUCGACAGGCAGGUCAGGAUCUGGGCAGGGCAAGUGAGGGAGCUCUCCUACGACGUCGAAGACAACAUCGACAGAUUCAUGGUGCGCGUUGACCUCCACCAUCCCUGGUUCAGCGGGUUCAUCGGCAGGUGCCUGAACCUGCUCACCACAGCCCGGGCCCGCCACCGGAUCGCCGCCGAUAUCAGGGGCAUCAAGGGCCGCGUCAAGGAGGUCGCUGACCGGCGCGACAGGUACAGGGUCGACGAUGAUGUGUCCGCCGUCCGGCGGCCCGGGGGCACC
This 453-nucleotide ribosomal RNA is filed under the name Triticum aestivum (bread wheat). Its description in RNAcentral is "partial small subunit ribosomal RNA". The record is from RNAcentral. Lineage: Eukaryota; Viridiplantae; Streptophyta; Magnoliopsida; Poales; Poaceae.